This is a long non-coding RNA of Cercocebus atys (sooty mangabey), 313 nucleotides long. RefSeq lists it as uncharacterized. NCBI's taxonomy places the organism in Eukaryota, Metazoa, Chordata, Mammalia, Primates, Cercopithecidae. The transcript is spliced from 4 exons. The record is from RefSeq and is a predicted model, not a curated record.
CCCGCCCCGGCCCGCAGGACACCCCCUCGGAACGCGCGGCCCCCCGGCUAAGUCAUGUUUAACAGCCUCAGAAAUUAUCUUGUCUCCGCGUUCUUUCUUCUGCCGGCGAGCCAGUGUCAUUUGUGGAUUAUUAAAGAAACCUCUCCAUACCUGAUGCAUAAAGUAUAACAUCAAAUAGUAAGGGGUUGACAAUAGGAAUGAUGUCUUUCAAAGAAGCUGUUUCUUGGAGAAAUCUCUGAAUCUGGGCCUAGGGUCAGCACUCAGGGAGAACCAAUCAACAACAACAGUAGGAUGGACUGAAGAGUCUCUUGAG